CCUACGGGUGGCAGCAGUGAGGAAUAUUGGUCAAUGGCCGGAAGCCUGAACCAGCCAAGCCGCGUGAAGGACGAAUGUGCCAAGCAUUGUAAACUUCUUUUGUCAAGGGACAAAAUCAGGCUCGAGAGCCUGACCGAGGGUACUUUAAGAAAAAGCAUCGGCUAACUCCGUGCCAGCAGCCGCGGUAAUACGGAGGAUGCGAGCGUUAUCCGGAUUUAUUGGGUUUAAAGGGUGCGUAGGGGGACUGUUAAGUCAGCGGUAAAAGCCCGGGGCUCAACCCAGGCGAGCCGUUGAAACUGGCUGUCUUGAGAUGUCGAGAGGUAUGCGGAAUGCGCAGUGUAGCGGUGAAAUGCUUAGAUAUUGCGAAGAACUCCGAUUGCGAAGGCAGCAUACCGGCGGCGAUCUGACGCUGAGGCACGAAAGCGUGGGUAUCGAACAGGAUUAGAUACCCUUGUAGUC
RNAcentral lists this ribosomal RNA (459 nucleotides) under uncultured bacterium. RNAcentral describes it as "partial 16S ribosomal RNA". It matches the Rfam family "Bacterial small subunit ribosomal RNA", at positions 338 to 795 of the family's 1533-position model. The record is from RNAcentral.